RNAcentral lists this ribosomal RNA (707 nucleotides) under uncultured Cortinarius. RNAcentral describes it as "eukaryotic LSU rRNA". The stretch from base 314 to 467 matches the Rfam family "5.8S ribosomal RNA". Lineage: Eukaryota; Fungi; Basidiomycota; Agaricomycetes; Agaricales; Cortinariaceae. The record is from RNAcentral.
UCUUGGUCCAUUAGAGGAAGUAAAAGUCGUAACAAGGUUUCCGUAGGUGAACCUGCGGAAGGAUCAUUAUUGAAAUAAACCUGAUAAGUUGCUGCUGGUUCUCUAGGGAGCAAUGUGCACACUUGUCAUCUUUAUAUUUUCUCCUGUGCACCUUUUGUAGACCUGAGUAUCUCUCUGAAUGCUUGUUUAGCAUUUAGGAUUGAGAAUUGACUUUGUUGUCUCUUCUUAUAUUUUUAGGUCUAUGUUUCUUCAUAUACCCUAAUGUAUGUUUAUAGAAUGUAAUUGAUAGGCCUUUGUGCCUAUAAACCUUUACAACUUUCAGCAACGGAUCUCUUGGCUCUCGCAUCGAUGAAGAACGCAGCGAAAUGCGAUAAGUAAUGUGAAUUGCAGAAUUCAGUGAAUCAUCGAAUCUUUGAACGCACCUUGCGCUCCUUGGUAUUCCGAGGAGCAUGCCUGUUUGAGUGUCAUUAAUAAUAUCAACCUUUUUGGUUGGAUGUGGGUUUGCUGGCCACUUGACAAGAGGUCAGCUUCCCUUAAAUGCAUUAGCGGACAACAUUUUGCCAACCGUUAUUGGUGUGAUAAUUAUCUACGCUAUUGACGUGAAGCAAGGUUCAGCUUCUAACAGUCCAUUGACUUGGACAACCCUCUUUUUAUUAAUGUGACCUCAAAUCAGGUAGGACUACCCGCUGAACUUAAGCAUAUCAAUA